UUGAGAAUAAGAAGAGACUGUUUUGAUUGGAAACAGAUAGGCUGUAUGACCUGCUAAAGGAUGUGCAUCAGGGAUUUAAGUUAACAGAGGAGGACAGGCUGUAAAUAGAUCAAUGAAAAUCAGAUUUACUGGGCGAUCUCAUUACAAAAUUUUCAGUAGAGAAAAAGCAUGUUUUUGAUUUUUUUCCUAAAGGUCUUGGAAUUUAAUCUGGAGAUCAAACACUCUUUUUAAAGUCUUGCUUUUGCUGGGUAUUAGCUCAUGAUUCUUGUCUUACUCAUGCGUAUCAUACCUGCAGCAGGUGGCUAUUUUCUGAAGGAGAAAUAGUUGUUCAGAAGGCAAUUGUGGAAGUUGUUUUGUUACAUUUUCUAUGUUAAAUUGGUAUGGCAAAGUCGGUCAAAGAAGCCUUUGGAAGCUGGUUGGGUCAAAGUAACAACAAAGAGCUCAGAGAGAUGUGGUAGGCUAUCCCUCCAUGUGUGCGGUGGACCAUUUGGAAGAAAGAAAUCAAAGGGCGUUUGUGGGUGUGACAGAUUUACAAGUGGGUCAAUUAGGGAUGUUUUUCGAGUAAUAGUGAAGAAAGAUGGAUACAGAAGUCUCAUGAGAGGGUGGAUGCCAAGGAUGCUCUUCCAUGCUCCUGCUGCUGCCAUUUGCUGGUCGACAUAUGAGGCUGGCAAAUCCUUCUUUCAAGAGCUGCAUACUACCAGCAGUGGUGUGACCUGAGUACUGAAUACGCCAGCAGUAGUGUAACCUUUAGAAGAGGUAUCAUUUCUCAACUGUUGUAUUCUGCAUACAUCUUCUGUGAUUGAAGACGACUUUCUACUGUGAUGGAAGACGACUUCUACUUGCUGGGAGAGUUGAGACACGAAAAUAGAGGAGAGCAAACUCCGUGUAGCAGUAUGUAUACGGGCGCAGUCGUAUGCCAUUUAUUUAGUCUUGUAACUUAUUCAAUUCUAAUAAAUUGGUAUAAUUGAGUAUCCCCUUUAGCAUCGUUAACUGCAUUAGUUGCGCGGAAAUCCAUUGUACCUGCUUUGGAGAUUCUCAUGGAAAAGUAGGGUCCACUGUGGAAAACUGAAGAAAAUCUUGAUUAUUCAUUGAUCACCACUGAUGUUUGGUGCUCUGAAAGAGAACUGUACCAUUUUCAUUCCUGUGGCAUUAUUUUGCUUCACCCUUA
Molecule: non-coding RNA, 1168 nt
Organism: Nicotiana tabacum (common tobacco)
Lineage: Eukaryota; Viridiplantae; Streptophyta; Magnoliopsida; Solanales; Solanaceae
Source: RefSeq, a predicted model, not a curated record